GAUACUGCGGUCUUAAAGAAUGCGGCCCCGGGGCUGGUUCAAUACCGGGGCACGGUACCCAUCCCUAAAAUCAACGGACAGUGUGUCUGUUUGAUUUGCACUGAAGAUGUUGCCGUGAUGAAAGAGUAUAAUGUCCGUCGGCACUAUGUCCAAGCAUCAGAGCAGCUAUGCUUCGUACACAGGUGCCGAACGAGCACAGAAAUCCAAGCAAAUGCCAACUAGCCUGCAAGCUCAACAGUUUUUUUUUUUCCCAUCGCGGCUUCAUAAGAGCAAAGGGCACGGGCUUAGGAAGUAAAGGAAGCUCCUAUGAGCUGUCUCCGUCUGACACCUACAAGGAUGCUGUUUGCAAGGCCAUGUUUGCAUACUUCACAGAGAUAGAGUGAACCAAAAAGGUGAAGAAAAUGCAUUCUGAACUGUGAAAACGUAUUCCCUUUAUGUAAAAAAGAACUUGUUGUUUUGUUUUUGGAAUUUCUUUUGUUCAUAGCUGCAUAUUUUGUCACAGAGUGUAAUUGUAAAAUGAAGCUUUUUAAAUUGUGUGCGUUUAAUGUUAAAAUUGUCCUCGUUGGUCACCCAUAAGCCCUUUUUUUGGGUCUACUUUUCUGAGAAAACAGUCGACUCUUUAUAAACUACAAAAUCGUGCACUCUGCCAGUCAACCACACUAACGGCUACGUAUGUAAAGAUCUGCUGGCUUCAGCUGCUCAAUAAACCCGUUCUGAACUGCC
Oryzias latipes (Japanese medaka) is the source of this 723-nucleotide non-coding RNA. The record is from RefSeq and is a predicted model, not a curated record. Lineage: Eukaryota; Metazoa; Chordata; Actinopteri; Beloniformes; Adrianichthyidae.